AGAGUUUGAUCCUGGCUCAGGACGAACGCUGGCGGCGUGCUUAACACAUGCAAGUCGAACGAUGAACCGCUUUCGGGCGGGGACUAGUGGCGAACGGGUGAGUAACACGUGGGCAAUCUGCCCUGCACUCUGGGACAAGCCCUGGAAACGGGGUCUAAUACCGGAUAUGACUGUCCAUCGCAUGGUGGAUGGUGUAAAGCUCCGGCGGUGCAGGAUGAGCCCGCGGCCUAUCAGCUUGUUGGUGAGGUAGUGGCUCACCAAGGCGACGACGGGUAGCCGGCCUGAGAGGGCGACCGGCCACACUGGGACUGAGACACGGCCCAGACUCCUACGGGAGGCAGCAGUGGGGAAUAUUGCACAAUGGGCGAAAGCCUGAUGCAGCGACGCCGCGUGAGGGAUGACGGCCUUCGGGUUGUAAACCUCUUUCAGCAGGGAAGAAGCGAAAGUGACGGUACCUGCAGAAGAAGCGCCGGCUAACUACGUGCCAGCAGCCGCGGUAAUACGUAGGGCGCAAGCGUUGUCCGGAAUUAUUGGGCGUAAAGAGCUCGUAGGCGGCUUGGUCACGUC
Molecule: ribosomal RNA, 567 nt
Filed under: Streptomyces somaliensis
Lineage: Bacteria; Bacillati; Actinomycetota; Actinomycetes; Kitasatosporales; Streptomycetaceae
Description: bacterial SSU rRNA
Rfam family: Bacterial small subunit ribosomal RNA
Source: RNAcentral